This 381-nucleotide ribosomal RNA is filed under the name uncultured bacterium. Its description in RNAcentral is "partial 16S ribosomal RNA". It matches the Rfam family "Bacterial small subunit ribosomal RNA", at positions 525 to 906 of the family's 1533-position model. The record is from RNAcentral.
ACGUAGGGGGCCAGCGUUGCUCGGAAUUACUGGGCGUAAAGGGUCCGUAGGCGGUGUGRCAAGUCGGDAGUGAAAUCUCUGGGCUUAACYCAGAGGCUGCUBCCGAAACUGYYRUGCUWGAGUGYGAGAGAGGCGAGUGGAAUURCGGGUGUAGCGGUGAAAUGCGUAGAUAUCCGYAGGAACAUCCGAGGCGAAAGCGGCUCGCUGGAUCRCAACUGACGCUGAGGGACGAAAGCUAGGGGAGCAAACAGGAUUAGAUACCCUGGUAGUCCUAGCCCUAAACCAUCAGGACUUGGGGUUUGCCCUGUACGGGGCAAGUCCCGKAGCUAACGCGUUAAGUCCUGCGCCUGGGGAGUACGGUCGCAAGRCUGAAACUCAAAG